Molecule: ribosomal RNA, 497 nt
Filed under: uncultured bacterium
Lineage: Bacteria
Description: partial 16S ribosomal RNA
Rfam family: Bacterial small subunit ribosomal RNA
Source: RNAcentral
GAUGAACGCUGGCGGCGUGCCUAAUACAUGCCAGUCGAGCGAACGGACGAGAAGCUUGCUUCUCUGAUGUUAGCGGCGGACGGGUGAGUAACACGUGGAUAACCUACCUAUAAGACUGGGAUAACUUCGGGAAACCGGAGCUAAUACCGGAUAAUAUUUUGAACCGCAUGGUUCAAAAGUGAAAGACGGUCUUGCUGUCACUUAUAGAUGGAUCCGCGCUGCAUUAGCUAGUUGGUAAGGUAACGGCUUACCAAGGCAACGAUGCGUAGCCGACCUGAGAGGGUGAUCGGCCACACUGGAACUGAGACACGGUCCAGACUCCUACGGGAGGCAGUAGUAGGGAAUCUUCCGCAAUGGGCGAAAGCCUGACGGAGCAACGCCGCGUGAGUGAUGAAGGUCUUCGGAUCGUAAAACUCUGUUAUUAGGGAAGAACAUAUGUGUAAGUAACUGUGCACAUCUUGACGGUACCUAAUCAGAAAGCCACGGCUAACUACGUG